UACGGAGGGUGCGAGCGUUGUUCGGAAUCACUGGGCGUAAAGGGCGUGUAGGCGGUCCGCUAAGUCUGAUGUGAAAGCCCGGGGCUCACCCCCGGAAGGGCAUUGGAAACUGACGGACUCGAGUCCCGAAGAGGAGGGUGGAAUUCCUGGUGUAGCGGUGAAAUGCGCAGAUAUCAGGAGGAACACCAAUGGCGAAGGCAGCUCGCUGGGACGGUACUGACGCUGAGACGCGAAAGCGUGGGGAGCGAACAGG
This 253-nucleotide ribosomal RNA is filed under the name uncultured bacterium. RNAcentral describes it as "partial 16S ribosomal RNA". It matches the Rfam family "Bacterial small subunit ribosomal RNA", at positions 524 to 776 of the family's 1533-position model. The record is from RNAcentral.